RNAcentral lists this ribosomal RNA (483 nucleotides) under uncultured Gammaproteobacteria bacterium. RNAcentral's name for it is "bacterial SSU rRNA". It matches the Rfam family "Bacterial small subunit ribosomal RNA", at positions 30 to 505 of the family's 1533-position model. Lineage: Bacteria; Pseudomonadati; Pseudomonadota; Gammaproteobacteria. The record is from RNAcentral.
AUUGAACGCUGGAGGUAUGCUUAACACAUGCAAGUCGAACGCGAACGGUUCUUCGGAGCUAAGUAGAGUGGCGGACGGGUGAGUAACGCGUAGGAAUCUACCCAAGUGUGGGGGAUAACAUGGAGAAAUUCAUGCUAAUACCGCAUACGCCCCAUGGGGUAAAGAGGGCCUCUUCUUGAAAGCUCUUGCAUUUGGAUGAGCCUGCGUCGGAUUAGCUAGUUGGUGAGGUAAGAGCUCACCAAGGCGACGAUCCGUAGCUGGUCUGAGAGGAUGAUCAGCCACACUGGGACUGAGACACGGCCCAGACUCCUACGGGAGGCAGCAGUGGGGAAUAUUGGACAAUGGGGGCAACCCUGAUCCAGCAAUACCUCGUGUGUGAAGAAGGCCUUAGGGUUGUAAAGCACUUUCAAUUGGGACGAAAAGUUCAAAGUUAAUACCUUUGGACCUUGACGGUACCUUUAGAAGAAGCACCGGCUAACUCCG